UCGCAGUUUCCCGCGUUUGCCGUCGCGCCCGCCACACACAAGCGCAAGGCGCACCGAUACAGACACACGCCGACUGAUUGAGCAUUGAAGAACCAAAGAAAAACGGAAAGGCGAAGCAAAAGCCGGGUGCCACUGACGCAUACACGCACACAAGCGCAUACAUGCGUACCUCCAAAGACAUAUAUAUAUGUAUAUAUAUGCCUGUUUAGAUUUUUUUUUUGUGAGGCUCAUUGGCAUUGUUCCUCUCGCUCAGGUCGUGUGCACAUCUAGAAAGCCGCCGCCUCGUCAUUCUGGACGCCCCUUCGCCCCCACUCGUGAGCAAUAACGAGAACUAGCUCACAGCCGCCUUCUCCUGGUCUCCCCCACUACGAAAAUACACACACGAAGCUGUUUUAGUAGAAAUCGAGCGCAUCGAGCACUCCGGCAGAAAAUGGCGUUGGUUCGCGUAGUCGGUGAUAUGCUGCACCUCAGCGCUAUCUUGAUCCUCUUAUCGAAGAUGCUGCGUCAGCGCUCGGCCGCCGGCAUCUCACUCAAGUCGAUGGAGUUGUUCGCCAUUGUCUUCUGUACGCGCUACCUUGAUGUGCUGUUUUCCUUCAUUGGCAUCUAUAACACCACCAUGAAGAUCUUCUUCAUCGCCUCAACGCUGCAUAUCUGCUAUUUGAUGAAGUUCAAGAGUCCGUGGAAGGCGACUUACGACCGCGAAAACGACACCUUCCGCAUCCGCUACCUCAUCGUUCCGUGCGCAGUGCUUUCCAUCCUGUUUCAUGGGACACCGCGGCACAACAUCGUUAUCGAGUUGUGUUGGACCUUCUCGCAGUAUUUGGAGGCUGUUGCGAUUCUGCCGCAGAUCUUCUUGCUCGAGUACACUGAGCGGUACGAUGCACUGACAUCUCACUACCUCUUCUGCCUCGGCGCGUACCGCGUCGUGUACAUGAUCCAUUGGGCGAUUCGCUACUAUAUCUAUCACAAAGUCCGCUGGAUCUCGGUCUUCAGCGGGUUUGUGCAGUCGCUGCUCUACGUUGAUUUCUUCUAUCACUACGUGGUGCAGGUGGUACGGAAGGCAAAGCAGCGAUACGAGCUGGCCAAGUAGACAGUCGAGGCGGAAGGGUGUGCGCGUUGUCGCGUGAUGUGGGAAUAGGGAGGGCGAAGGGCUGCGGAAGCGUGCGCUGGCAUGGAUGUGAAGGUGAGGAGAUGGCUACAUCUGGGGAGUGCAGAGCUUACUUGGACUGACUGUGCAAGUGUCACGGGGGCUGGCAUCCGUGAGAGAGCUGCAUGCAUAACAUGCAUAUAUAUGUAGGGUGCCCGCAUUCUGAAGGCGUUUUCUUUUUUUCAUCCUCGAAUACUGCAAUGCAUAGCGACACCCAUCCUCCUCCUUCCACAGAACAGCGUAGAGCAGGCGUGCUCCCUCGCCGCCGUGUUCAUUCUUUACCUCCUCACGUUCUUCUGUUAACGUGUCUCGGUGUACGUCCUUCUCCGUUCGAGUGUAUUCUCUCGUUAUGAAUCUUUGCGUGUUUGUGUGAGUCUCUCAGUUGUUUACCGGGGCGUGGGCUUGGUUGUGUGAUGGGUCUGCUGUGUCGUGUCUGUUUCAUGUUUCCGUUUCUAUUGUGUUUGUUUCAAGUGACCAACACUCCUCUUCUCGUUCUCAUCGUGUGCACGCGUGGGUGUCCGUGUGUCGUUCGCGUUUACUUUUCCGUACCCCUCCCGUCCCUUCCCUUCCUUUCACCAACACUCGUCUCUCCUUCGUUGUUCACCACGAAAUUGUCUGCACGCAUGCAGAGGCAAACAACCAAGCAAGCGCACACGCACGCACACACUUGGGCGCCUUUCAGUGUGUAUGUACGUGUGUGUGGCUGCGUCGCAGCGUAGCGCUGCGCGCGUGUUUUGCCCCUUGUUUUCUUUGUCAUCUUCUUUUAUUUCCUUCUCUUCCCUCUCCUUCUUGUCACUCUCGUCUGUGCAUGUGCCUGUUUUUUGUUUUGCCUUUUGUCUCCGCCACUGUUCCUCUUCGUGUGCUGCCUUACGUGUUGCCGCCCCCCGACGUUAUCAUAAAAGUGGGGGCAGAGGAGGAGGGAGGUGAAGACGGGAAGGCUCGAAAAAAAAAGUGAGGAAAAGAAGGGAGGCGAAGAAGGCGUGUGCGGCUCAGUCGACUCUCUCCUCUCCGCUGCCGCACCUCUCUCGCGCUCUGUUUUCCUUCGUUUUUUUUUUUUCGUGCUAGCUCUCUUGUCUCUCUGUGUAUCUGUAUAGCAACGUUGUUGCUCUAUCAUUGGGAUGGAGAAGGUGAUGACGACAGUGUAUGAUGGCGUAUAUGCAUGUGGAGCUGGAGAGUGAACGAAGAAAGCUGAGGGGCGAAGGAACGGCGUGUUACCAUCGUCGUCAUUUGUCUUUGUGCACAGGCUCUCGCUUACUCACUCGCGUACGUGCGCAAGCGCGCUCCGUGCCUAUCCACGCCCCCAAAGCCUCUUGAAGCUCAGGUGUGAAGCACCCUUCUCAAAGAAAAGGAACUUACAACAAAAAACAUGCGAUAUGGAAGGUAAUGCCAUCAUCCCAUUGCUGCGCAAGAUGGAGGCGAUAUCACACACAUCAAGGCAAGCUUUCCGGGCAGCGGUGAGGUGUGCGACUCACAUCCUUUUCGUUUCUUAUGUUGCACACAGCCGGCUUCGCGGGUAUUGUUUGCGACGGCUGUCCCUGUCUACGGUGUGGGUUUCUAUGUGCAGUUGAUGGAUAACCGGUUAC
Molecule: unclassified non-coding RNA, 2730 nt
Filed under: Leishmania donovani
Lineage: Eukaryota; Euglenozoa; Kinetoplastea; Trypanosomatida; Trypanosomatidae
Description: gene:LdHU3.28.0840(CDS-product:ER_lumen_retaining _receptor-like_protein)
Source: RNAcentral